RNAcentral lists this transfer RNA (73 nucleotides) under Alosa alosa (allis shad). RNAcentral describes it as "tRNA-Asn". It matches the Rfam family "tRNA". From Rfam's summary of the family: Transfer RNA (tRNA) molecules are approximately 80 nucleotides in length. Their secondary structure includes four short double-helical elements and three loops (D, anti-codon, and T loops). Further hydrogen bonds mediate the characteristic L-shaped molecular structure. tRNAs have two regions of fundamental functional importance: the anti-codon, which is responsible for specific mRNA codon recognition, and the 3' end, to which the tRNAs corresponding amino acid is attached (by aminoacyl-tRNA synthetases). tRNAs cope with the degeneracy of the genetic code in two manners: having more than one tRNA (with a specific anti-codon) for a particular amino acid; and 'wobble' base-pairing, i.e. permitting non-standard base-pairing at the 3rd anti-codon position. The record is from RNAcentral. Lineage: Eukaryota; Metazoa; Chordata; Actinopteri; Clupeiformes; Clupeidae.
GUCUCUGUGGCGCAAUCGGUUAGCGCUGCUCGCUGUUAACCGAAGGUUGGUGGUUCGAGCCCACCCAGGGACG